Leucoraja erinaceus (little skate) is the source of this 719-nucleotide long non-coding RNA. RefSeq lists it as uncharacterized. NCBI's taxonomy places the organism in Eukaryota, Metazoa, Chordata, Chondrichthyes, Rajiformes, Rajidae. The transcript is spliced from 4 exons. The record is from RefSeq and is a predicted model, not a curated record.
UUCUUGAAUGAUUCAUGAUUAACUUUGUCCAUUCAGUGAUAUGAUUAUAAUUAUUUUUUCUCUUGUUAGGUGGCAGUGUGAUCCACACGCGCUGCACAGAGACGUUAGAGACCAAGACCGCUCUUCUUAGUCUGUUUGGCUUUCCACUGUGGUACCAAUCUCGGUCACCCAGAGCUGUCAUUCAGCCGGAGGUUCAUCCUGGGAACUGUUGGCCAUUUAAAGGUUCCCAAGGCUUUGUUGUCAUCGAGCUUGCUGUCCGGAUCAGGCCUACAGCCUUUACCCUAGAGCACAUUCCCAGAUCCAUUUCUCCUAGUGGAUCAAUUAGAAGUGCCCCUCAAGACUUCUCUGUUUAUGGCUUGGAUGAUGAAAAUCAAGCCGAAGGGGUCCUAUUGGGACAAUACACGUAUAAUGAGGAAGGGGAUUCCAUCCAGACGUUUGAGGUGCAGAAUAAAGAUGCUGCCGUUUACAAAUUCACUGAACUGCGGGUGAAUAGCAACUGGGGCCAUCCAGAAUAUACUUGCCUCUACCGGUUCCGUGUCCAUGGAGAACCAGCCAUGUGAUUCUGGAGCUCGGCUGCCCCGCACUCUACAACACGAACAACCUCUACGUAAUCUGAAUUCAAAGUUGAUUUCCAGCAACAAUGUCAAUUUCUGUCAUAAAUGUUUAUAGUGUUUUAAAUUAUUUAUAAUUAUUUAAUAUUAAAUAUAUUUAGAAUGAAA